CUAAAUGUUUAUUAUAUGCAUGUUUGAGAAUAUACAUACAACAUACAUAUGUAUAUACAGAAAUAAAUAUUUAUUGUUUCCAAGAACGGACUUUUACCGCUCACAAAAUACAAAGGCUGCAAAGUCAUAUCUCUUACACUCAAAAAAGCUACACUCGGUAACUUAAUGAUUUGGCAAGAUUUUGGAAAAAAGUAUGACAGCUCAAUGGAAAUAUGUACCUUCGUGGGAAAACCCUGCCCAAGGACCGCUUAAAGGACCGUUUACUUCUCAGCAGUUAGCCAGAAAUGACCUUUGGUGGUUCGCUUCCGAAUGGCUAUGUGAAGACGAGAAUCUUUGGCCUACUCCCAACCCCCUGAACAGAAUCAAGAAGAAAGAAGACAAUCAAAAGUAGUAGAAAGUAGAAGAAAGUAGAUUUAAAAAUCUAGUAGAUAAAUCUGGAGAUCAGCCGGAGCCAGCAAAAAAAUCGUUAUCCCAGCACAGUCCGAACAGAGCGCUUUGCCCAUUUUUAGACGACUUUGGGAUUAUGCGAAUCAAAGGGCUACUAAUGAACGCCCAACAACUGUCCCAAGCAGAGAAAUACCCGACAACUGAACAUCCUUCAUGGAGGCACCGAGGUUUGCCGCUGCACCGCUACAACCUUCCUGGACGAGCCUUUGAAGCCACUGGUGUCGACUACGCCCGUGUAGUGGGGGCAUGCGCACUUGUAAAUUUAAAAAAAUCGAAUUUUUUUUUUUGCAUUUUGUUAAAGUAUAUACAUUUAGAAAUGUGUCCACAAAAUUUUGAAAUGAUCCGGUGAAAAUUCAGUGAGAUACACAUGUUGAAAGGGAGGGGCGUCCGGUAAGCGUAAUGACUAUCCAGUUUUUCACAGUGUUGGUCACCGCAACUCGCCUUUUUCGGAUGGACCUCACUUCGACGGGGCAUAACUUUGAAACCCCUAAAUAUUUUCUACUUUUUUUUUUCAAAUUUAAGUUAAAAUAAUGUACUUUCACAUAAUAAAACGAUAUUUCAAAAAAAUUCAAUAGUUUACG
Drosophila ananassae is the source of this 1028-nucleotide long non-coding RNA. RefSeq lists it as uncharacterized. The record is from RefSeq and is a predicted model, not a curated record. The transcript is spliced from 3 exons. Lineage: Eukaryota; Metazoa; Arthropoda; Insecta; Diptera; Drosophilidae.